AUAACGACUCUCGGCAACGGAUAUCUCGGCUCUCGCAUCGAUGAAGAACGUAGCGAAAUGCGAUACUUGGUGUGAAUUGCAGAAUCCCGUGAACCAUCGAGUCUUUGAACGCAAGUUGCGCCCGAAGCCAUCAGGUUGAGGGCACGUCUGCCUGGGCGUCACGC
Molecule: ribosomal RNA, 164 nt
Filed under: Streptocarpus johannis
Lineage: Eukaryota; Viridiplantae; Streptophyta; Magnoliopsida; Lamiales; Gesneriaceae
Also listed under: 11 other names
Description: 5.8S ribosomal RNA
Rfam family: 5.8S ribosomal RNA
About the family: 5.8S ribosomal RNA (5.8S rRNA) is a component of the large subunit of the eukaryotic ribosome. It is transcribed by RNA polymerase I as part of the 45S precursor that also contains 18S and 28S rRNA. Functionally, it is thought that 5.8S rRNA may be involved in ribosome translocation.
Source: RNAcentral